ACCCUCUGUCAUGUACACUGGAGUGCAGUGGCACGAUCACAGCUUGAUGCAGCCUGGUUCUCCUGGGCUCAAGCAAUCCUCCUGCCUCAACCUUCUGAGUAUCUGGGACAACAGGAAAAUGGUUUCAUUGGAGUGUCUUUAGAGCUGUGAUGUCAAGACAUGAAGAACAAGUGCACACACAGACAUGGCUAUCACAGAACAGACUAUGGCUGACUCCUUCCUCUGCUUCCUCACUCAUCACUUCUCCUUGGACAACCACAAUUAGUCUUUGUGCCUUCAGGCAACACUGCUAUCAAAAUUAUUCUAUUAUAAGCAGAGUCAACUUCCUAAAAAUGGAAAUCUUCCCAUGCCAGUCCCCAACUAAAAAACAUCCAAUGACUCCCCGUCACCUAAAUCUGAGAUACUUAGCAUGGCAUUAAGACUCUCCACGGGGCCAGACUUUGGAAGGCCGAGAAAGAAGUAUUACUUCAGCCCAGGAAUUUAUGACCAGCUCAGGCAGCACAGUGAGACCCUGUCUCUACUUGAGCCCAGGAGGUCAAGGCUGCAGUGAGCCGUGAUGGUGCCACUGCACUCGCACCUGGGUGACAGAGCAAGACCCUGCCUCAACAAAACAAAACAAA
Gorilla gorilla gorilla (western lowland gorilla) is the source of this 620-nucleotide long non-coding RNA. RefSeq lists it as uncharacterized. The record is from RefSeq and is a predicted model, not a curated record. Lineage: Eukaryota; Metazoa; Chordata; Mammalia; Primates; Hominidae. The transcript is spliced from 3 exons.